UACGGAAGGUCCAGGCGUUAUCCGGAUUUAUUGGGUUUAAAGGGAGCGCAGGCGGACCUUUAAGUCAGCUGUGAAAUACGGCGGCUCAACCGUCGAACUGCAGUUGAUACUGGAGGUCUUGAGUGCACACAGGGAUACUGGAAUUCAUGGUGUAGCGGUGAAAUGCUCAGAUAUCAUGAAGAACUCCGAUCGCGAAGGCAGGUGUCCGGGGUGCAACUGACGCUGAGGCUCGAAAGUGCGGGUAUCAAACAGG
RNAcentral lists this ribosomal RNA (253 nucleotides) under Prevotellamassilia timonensis. RNAcentral describes it as "partial 16S ribosomal RNA". It matches the Rfam family "Bacterial small subunit ribosomal RNA", at positions 524 to 776 of the family's 1533-position model. Lineage: Bacteria; Pseudomonadati; Bacteroidota; Bacteroidia; Bacteroidales; Prevotellaceae. The record is from RNAcentral.